GUUAUGGCGCACCGGGUCCCGUACUUCCGUUGCGUAGCAAUCCUCUGUUGGCCACAGAGGAUUGCUACGGUGCAUCGACAGCGGUGGUGAUGCCCGC
RNAcentral lists this unclassified non-coding RNA (97 nucleotides) under Leishmania guyanensis. Lineage: Eukaryota; Euglenozoa; Kinetoplastea; Trypanosomatida; Trypanosomatidae. The record is from RNAcentral.